Brienomyrus brachyistius is the source of this 1152-nucleotide long non-coding RNA. RefSeq lists it as uncharacterized. The transcript has 7 exons. The record is from RefSeq and is a predicted model, not a curated record. NCBI's taxonomy places the organism in Eukaryota, Metazoa, Chordata, Actinopteri, Osteoglossiformes, Mormyridae.
UGGUUGUUUUACAUUCCUGUAUCCGUUUACUUUAAUUGGGUUCUGUUAUGUCCGCCAAUCGGGAAAAGGGGCGGGAGCAAGAGACUGGCGGGAACGAGAGACUCUGGCGGGAAAAAAGGAAGACUGGCGGGGAAGGAGAAGCGGACAAGACUGCUCGUCUUGUGAGCGACUGUUUCAAGCCGUGGAGCGGUGAGAAAUGCCAGCGUACCCGGUCAAGAGAGAGAAGCCGGCUGGUGCGGGAGUCGCAGGACUGCUCGUCUUGCGAGGGGCUCGCCACAAGCUGCGGACAGCGGAGAAUCACCAGCACAGCGCUUCGGAGAGGGAGAGUAAAUUCGCCCUACGGGAGGGAAAGACCGUAGGAUGAAGGAAAGAUAUUUGGAGCACGCCUGGAAUUGGGUGGACUGUUUGCGAGUGGAGUGCCAGACCUAAGGUUGAAGGAUUUAGCCUGCUGUCAAGUCCUCCUGGAACGUUACAUCCCCAGUCCUGAGGGUCUGUGCGGAGUGCGUGAAGCCGUGUGCACCCUGAGCCAGCAGAAGCUGCAUGCCAUUGAGGACAGCAUGUACGACAACAUUGACUUCUUCAAGCUCUUCCACUUGCUUCCCAGGGUGCUUGACCACCACACUGCUGGCCCCGAUCUGCGAUCAGAGAAGUUGCACCAGUGCUUGGACCUGGACAAGUUUGUCGGCCUCUCUGUUGAGGGUCAGAUGACGGUCAAAACCCUGGACCUGCAGGGAGAGAACAAGCUCUGGGCUGGACUUGUCUUCCUGGACAUGACCCCUUGGACUUCUGAGUUGCCAGCUCGCAUCAAGUUUAGGAUCCACAUGGACAUCGACUCUGUGGAGAGGACCAAUGAAAUUAAUAACAGAGAAUUCAACCCACUGGUGACGUACUGCUUGAUUUCACAAGCAAAAAUAUUUCAGAUUACCUAGUUAAGACCUACCCUACUCUCAUCAGGACCAGUUUUAAAAUAAAAUUCUGGGUGAAUGAACAAAGGUAUGGAGGAAUCUCUGUUGAUGGGCAACUUCCUGUGCUUAAUGUGAACCCUAAAACCAUGAAGGAUGUUUUGAUCCAGAUGGGGCACAUGCUGAAUAUCACAAGGGUUGGUUCUUGUAUGAGCUGUACAGUGUGAAGAUGCAAAAUAGUGUUUUUGUC